RNAcentral lists this long non-coding RNA (22191 nucleotides) under Setaria italica (foxtail millet). RNAcentral describes it as "long non-coding RNA (SITA_LNC003451)". Lineage: Eukaryota; Viridiplantae; Streptophyta; Magnoliopsida; Poales; Poaceae. The record is from RNAcentral.
GGGAGGGAGGUUUGAUAUAGAUCUGAUGGAGAUCAUUACUUGCAUGAAUCUCAAGUACGAGAAUGUUCAAUUUCCUACCUCGCGAAAGAUGGAUAGGUUUUCCGGUCCAGCUCUCCGUCAAGUAGGCCCAGUAGCUUGGUACUAUCUCUCACUCGGCCCAAACGAGGCUACCGGGCCGCUAGUUCCAGCUACUGGGCCAUGGCUUAAACAGCCGCCGGUUGGAUUUUGUUUCUCAAUCACACAAUGAUCGGUUGGUUUUACUACAGUCUACAUUGUGAUUUCGAGUAAACUGCAACGGAGGACAUUUGAUCUUUUAUGCCACAGAAUGUCGUUGUUCGUUACAAAAUAUUACUCCCUCCGUUCAUUACGAAAUAUUACUCCCUCCAUCCUAAAUUAUAAAUCGUUUUGAUUUUUUUAGAUGUAUAGAUUUUACUAUAUAUCUUAACACAAUGUAUAUCUAAGUGCACAGCAAAAUGUAUGGAUCUUAUAAAGUCAAACGACCUAAGGACGGAGGGAGUAUUGUUUAAUGCAUCAGGCUACCACAAUUUGCUUGGAAGGCUUUGUUGUUGAUGUACUGUCAUUUGGCUUUUCAGAAAUGUGGAGAUUAGAUUCAGUCUACGUGGAAUAGUAGGGCAAAAGUAAACUGAUUGCCUUGUCAAUCCGAAAGGUAUUUUCAGCUGGGCAUGUUCCAUCACAAAUAUGGUUAGUUUAUCUUCUCGUAUGGCGGUUUUACGCUGUAGUGCGUGGCUGGAGAAUCUUAGAGCGUGUUUGAGACUGCUCCCAUCCAAUUUUUUCAACUCCGCUUCCAAACCAUCUUACCAAAUACCUACAGCUCCAACAAUCCCAACUACAAAAAAAAAGGUAGAUCUAGAGGGCAACUCCAAGGUUUUUCUGAAGUACCUCAAGGGGUGCUCAUAAAAUUCAUGUUUGAUAACUUUUCAUGGAGCUGUGGGGUAAUUAAUCACCAUGCCACUGAUUACACACGUGUCGAUUCGCUAAACAAAACAAAUCAGCGUUGUUCUCCCAUCGCCCCCUCCUCAGACUAGUGCUGCCACCUACGGAUUGGGCACUGUCGGCCCCAAUCUCCGGCGAAAAUGGAUGCUGAGACUGCAACCGCCGUCGCCGCGUUCCAUGCCGCGCCGGGGCUGCAGGCACUGGGCUGCGCUGCCGCAGCUAGCCGAGACGCGCAGUGCCGCUGCUUGUGGUCGGUCGUAGGGGCGACAGGGCUGCCGCGCUGGUGCUGCAAGCGCCGCCGCCGCGCUGGUCAGUAGCAGGGGCUCCGUCUUCUAUCCUUUGCAGGUCUCCAGCAUCUUCUCCAUUGACUCGCGCAAAGUAACCAUAGCUUAUUCCUCCCCAAAUCUGAGCAGAAAAAGAAAUCAAAAUCAAGAAUAAGAAAGGAAGGCGAGUAUCCACAACACGCCUACCCGGUGAGAGUCUGGAGCGUUGCUCCUCCAAGGCUCCGACCUCAUGUGCGACUUCACACUUGUGCAGGCGGCAUUCCAGGUGCCACCACAUGCUUGGUUGUCCUGGUCUUGCGCUGUCGCAGGUCUUGACCAUCAAUUCAGGCAAGCUGUGACUGUGUGAUGUUCUUAUAGGUCCAUCUAUCUGUCGAUUUCAUCGAUUUCGUCACCGAUUCCUUCAAAAAUUAGGCAAGCUACGACCGUCUCUCUCUGAAUCGAGACGUCAAUUCCGACGGCGAUGCAGAUCCCACGUCGAAGGUUGGAGCGACCGAGUGGGGUAGGCCAUUGGGUGGGACGAAAAUAGGGUAGCAGGGUGACGGGAGGCUUGGGGUGGUCGGCGGUGGUCACAGAGGCGAGCUCCGGCGAGAGGGUCGGACAUGGCACGGGUGGUGCGGGUUGGAAGGGUUAGGAAAAAAGAAGAGGAAGAAGAGAAGAGGGAGAAAAGAGAAGAGAUUGACGUGUGGAUCCAUUCACAAAGGGUAAAAUAGACUAUUCAUAGCAAGUCUUCAUGUUUUUGGAGCUGGAGUACUGCAACUAGAUAAACACGUACAACAACUCCAUAUUUUUCUAGAGUUGGUGGAGUGGAGUUGAAAAAAAUGAAGUUGGUGAAGUGGAGCUGUUUUUCAUGAGGUGGAGCAGUUCCAAACACGCCCUUAAUCCUUGACGGAAAUUAUCUUUUUUCGCCCUCGUCAUCAAGAUCCCUACGAUGUGCAAGACCUAAUUGACGUCUAACGAUGGCAUCCAGAUCUGGAAAUAAAUAAGAGCUUUCACUAACUACGACCAUAUGCCAAAACGGAGCUUAAUUAUAUUAUACAUCGCUUGCAGCAUCUACGCCGAACCCACGCGCUCUGCGUGGAUUGGAUUAACACCUGCGUAUAUAUAUGCGAAUUAUGCAAAAAAGAGACGAGGGCAUUGCAAUGCUUCAGCUCACGACGCUUCCUGAAACAUCAGAUUGUUCGGAGCAUAUCAGAACCCACUCACUCAUCAGUCGCUCGACAGACGGAGCUCCACUUUUAGGGACAGAGAGCUACAGCUACUGACGAAUAUGAGAAAGAGAACUGAUCCGCUCUUGCUCCGGAGUGGGAAUCCAGGAUUAUUAAUUCCAAAUUUUCCAACACGACAUGCAAAUCUUAUCUCCAGGGUUUUUGCAUUUUCUGGAGAAGAUCAUCGAUCAUGCGAGUACGCGGGGAAUCGCAUUUUUCUGGAAUUUUGUUGUGGGGGAAACAGCAAGCAUAAUUGCUGUAGCUGACUGUAUAAUCUGCAACAGUGUAAAUGUUCCAAUGUUCAGCGUAGCUGGCUGAUGCAUGUGCUCUCUCUCUUUUAUUUUACAUGGGAAUCGAAAGAUUAAUUUAAUAGCUAUUCCUCCACGAAAAAUGAUCAUCGUUCCUUUUGCCACCAAGGAACCUUAGCUAGAAAUCUCAUAUGUGUAUAGUACAAUGCAUUAUUGCUUGAUGUCUGCCAUGCAUCUGUAACAUGCACAAACUUCGAUUCUCCAUGUUGGUCUUGGAUGAAGAUCUGGCUACAUUUUUUUGAAAAAAUGACUAUCAAUAAAUAACUAAUAGUAUAUUCAGUUUUGAAACAUGAAAGUUAUAUAUUCAGGAAAAGACUUCUUAUUACGAUCAUAAGUUUAUUAGAUUUAUAAGUAUAUCCUAAUAUAAAAUAAAGGUGUGGGUUAUUAUACAAAACAUCGAUUGUUAGCAUUGCGACCUGAGGAGAAAAUUUUAAAUUAGUCUCUAGUACCAUAUUCCUUCUGUUCUAAGUUAUUUUCUAGAUACAUAGUUUUUAUUAUAUGUCUAGACAUAACGUAUAUCUAGGUACGUAGUAAAAAGUAAAAAAAUUAUAUACAUAAAAAGCUAAAACGACUUAUAAUUUGGAGUGCAGUUCUCUCAAUUCCUACCUUUUUAGACAAAGAAAUCGUCUUUAUCCUGACCUCUCUUUCUGUAAGACAUGCACUUAAUCAUUCAAUAUUACAAGUCUCAGUUAAUAGCUACAAAAAUAGCAACAAACAGUAGAAUAAUGUUUACAAAAGGGUACUGUUUAAGCACAAAUCCUGUAACUGAACACCCACCCGUUGUUGACGAAGGUCUCCGUCCGUAUAUGAUCGUACCUUCAAAGUUCGUCACACCCAUUUCAUCUACACUCCAUGCUAUUACACGAACUAAAUCUCGGGCCCUUAUCUUUAGUUGUAUCUUCCUAAUCUUUAAGGAAAAACUUGAAUUUAUUCUGGGGUAUAUUCAGCAGCAUAUGCAGUAUACAAACUACAUGGUCAUGGACACGCGUAGCAUAUCGACACUCGGGAAUCAGGAUAUAUGUACAUGAAUGGGCCACGAAGCCGGCCUCGUCAGCAAUCGAUCCAUUAUCGAUCAAGAACCAAGAUCUUUACCGGCCUGUCCGGCUGUGCGUAAAGAUCAUGUCGGCUGUGCGUGGAUAGUGCUAGCUGCCUAGCUGGAUGGUGUUAUUGAUCUCCCACUCCCUGCAGAGUGACCUAACCGAUCGAUCAGAUUCAGAGCACAUAGGACGCCAUGCACAUGCAUGCAGAGCUAGCUGCUAGCUGCUACUUGCAGCUUUGGGUGGUAUCCCGUAUCCGAAUCCGAGAGUGAUCCACGAUACAUUAUCCAGGCCCCGCUAGCGAAGUGGUGGUGGCAUCCAUCCAUUCCAGCAAUGCAUGCAUGCUUAUGCUUCACGCCUUCACUGUUCUAUUCUAUGUAGAGGUUAAAAUUAAACAUAGGAUGGCCGUAUACUAGCUAGGACAAAGAGACGAGGAGCUAUAAUGAUGGAGCUCUUUUACGGUGCAUUAUACUACCACUUAGUGGUAUAUAGCAUCCAUUAGUAAUAGUAAUAUAGUAACUACUAUUAAAAUUAUUAAUUAAGGUUCGAUUAGUUUUUUUUUCCCGAUCUGCCUUGCGAAGUCCAGACCGCCGCCCACGGCCGGCUCUCCCGAUCUUUUCCACGGUGCACCAUGCGCGUGCCUGGCGCACCAUACCGCCAAUGCCCGGUCGUCCGGUCCCUGCCCGUCCGCCGCUGUAGCAGGGCGCGUCACCGGCGAUCUACCUUGGCGCAACGUGCCUCUCCUGCCCGGCUGCCUGCCGCACCAGGGCUUGUCCCGGAGCACGAGCGCUUCCACACCCACCUCGGGAAAACAACGGCGUUGAGAGGGAUCAGGUCGCUCAUGUCCGGACGGAAGGCGGUGGCGCCAUUCAUUCCUCGCGUGCCGAGUUCGGGUUUGUGACGGCCUGAUCCAGCACCUCCACGUCCAUCCUCUUGUCCCAAAGAAGAGGAAGAUAGUAAAAGAGGCUGCGCUGCACUACUCGCCAUGUUUGAUGCCAUAGCCCUGGCUUCAGUCACAUGUUCUUGUGUACAUUUGCUCACCAGCUUUCGUCUUAGAAACCCCAAUUUAACUGAUGCGGUCAUGUUGCACGAAAUUUUACGAAAUAAUGGUACACACUUUGUAUUUGAGUCAUUUAAUUUGCACAACCCAAUCUCCCCUCUUGGCAACCUUGUGGCAGUUUAACCAAAUAAACUUCAGUACAUGAUGUUUGCAUCGAAAGAUGGCCUCUGACCAUAUCUAUACUAGCAGCACAAAGCCUCAUGGAAUGCGCGCCGUCCUCGGUCACCCGUUCUCUCCAGCCGCUCGGCACCCCGCACCUGGAAUGGUGCCUCCGCCCAUCCGUCCACACGCGACAGAAACGAAACGCCGGUGCAUUGGAUCGAUAGGAUGGAUAAGAUCCGAAAUCAUAGAUGGAUGUGGGCCGGGCUCUAUUUGGGUAUGGGUAGGGCCAUGACGAAAAUAAUUAAAAUUAGAUAGAUGCCAUUCCUAUUCUUUUUCCCCAUAAUAUAUCAUGUAUACUACCCAUACCACUAGUAAAAUUUUUAGCAGUAUACAAUUAAUCUCAACCAUAUUUUUAUACUAGUCUUUUUCGAACACUAGUAUAGCUUAGUAUAAUGCACCGUAAAAGAGCUCUGAUGAUGAUGCGGUAACAAGUCGAAAACAUGCGAGUAUUCUAAACACGAAAUUAGCUUUUUAGGAAAUGGAUAGAUUUCUCCGACCUUUGCGACCGCACACAGUCAAAAUCAAAACACGAAAUUAGCUAGCCUAGCCUCUAGCAGCUUGCUAUCCGCUUUUAAUUUCUAGCUACCAUACCGAACUGACUGAUUGAGCUGAUUCCAUUGCUGCAUACAUGUUCAUGUCUCUCAAGUCGAUGCUGUACGUGCAUGCAUGUAUCAUCCAUCAUGAACGGACGAUGGUCUGAUAAAACCGAACUGAAUUCCCUGAAUUUCUUUUACAUGUGAUUGAUAUAUCAUUGACGGAUGAGCCUGAAGCAGCACUAUAUACCAUAUACACUACCCAAACCCAAGAAUAUAAUCUGAUACCCGAUUCCAUUAGUGAGGACGACGAGAGGCGAGCUGAUGACGGUGCAGGCAUGCAUGCAGAAAGGUUUGGUUGAACAGCGACAGGUUCCGACGGGGAAAGGAAUUAUAUGCGCAGUGCAGUGCAGCCUGCAGCAUUUUCUUCGUCAGCACGACGGAACGCUGCAAGUUAGGGUAGCAGAACUGACAGCUGAGAUAUUUACCCGUCAGAAUAGCAUACGUGAUAACUGGCCACUUGCACACGCACCAGGACUUCUCCCAUGGACACAGAUGGCUCAACUGAAACGAAUGAAGAAGCAGCAAAAGUGAGACAAGGUUUUUGAUCUGACCCCCGGUUCGAUCAUUCACUCCCACCAUAUUUAUUUGUUUGUUUGUUUUUACCAUUAUCAUAAAAUUAAAAAAGUCUAAAAUCAUGCAAGACUAACGUGAGUUUUAUAACAGAGCAGAAAUAGACUAGGCACCCUAGCUAGCUAGAGAGAAAAGAAAAAGGAAGGAAAAGAAAAAGACCUUAUUAGCUGAUAUGUUAAAGAGUGAAAAGCAGAGAAAGGUGCAAGAGAAGGUAGGGUGGAAAUAUGACAAAUACCACACAAAACCCUACCAGCAGGAUGCAGCAUCUGCUUUCCAUUUUGUACGACCUGUCAGUUAUUAAGCGAGAGCCAAUCGCGGUUCGAUAGGUGGGAUGACAAAAAGGUUUGGAUCGGGAGUCAUCAUGCACGCCAUUGACAAAUGACAAGCAUGUAGACUGUAGAUCAGUGGGUGAUCAGCGGGCAGGCGCGCACAUAAUGAUACGGCUUGGUACUACGCUGACUUCGGUUCGGCACAGCCACAUGUGUACGCAUAUCUUGGACAGAAUUUUAAGUUGUGAAUCUCCAUUCAGCCCGUUUCUUCCUUCUUCGAUGACAUUGAUAUGUGUUCCCAUUGUAUGUAUGGUCGUUAUCGGUCCUCGCGGAGGCAACAAAAGGGUCCGACCGCUAUAGCUUUCAUAUUUGACAUUGGUAUAACGAGUCCUUUUUUGAUAAUAGAUGUAACUUUGAUUCCCAGUGGACUAUGCCAUUUUACUAUUGCUAAUUGAGGCUCCUUUUGAAGCCACCAGGUGAAGCCACCUAGGAUUCUAGGUGAACACUCUAGAAAAAGAGAGAAAUUCUCCCAAAAAAGUAAAACAUCUAGCCAUCAUAGACUCAGAAUCAUCAUAGCCAUUGGAUCUAUUAUGUUUUUUUAAAAAAUUACUCAUUAUGAAAAUAGCCUAAAGUAACCCCGUAAAUCUAUAUCUAAAUUACACACCUCUGCCAUUACAUAAAAUAAACUAAAGUAACCCCUAAUCUUCAUCAAAAUUAUCCACUUAUGCCAUUAUAAACAAUAUUUAAAAUAACCCCUAAAUUUGCAACCCAAUCGCCCACCACUAAUACUUAAAAAUAACCUAAAGUAACCUCUUAAAUUUGCAUCUAUAUUACCCACAUAUGCCAUUAUUAAAAAUAACAUGAGGUAACUAUACAUUUGAACCCAAAUCAUCUUAAUUAAAAAUAUACACCAAUAUAUGAUUCUAAACCGUCUAUUUCUUACACUAUUAGUAUAUGAUAUAACAAUUAAGGUAUAUAAAUGUGAUGUGUGUCACCAUUUAUAAAGAUAUAGUGAAAAUAUUGAGAAUAUAGAUUUAUGUGUUGAAAUUAUACUCCAUUCAUCCCAAAUUACUAUUUGCUUUGGCUUUUCUAGAUACAUAACUUUUGAACAAAUUCAAGCACAUACCUACAAUAUGAAGUGAAAAGUUAAAGAUUAUAAACGUGGAUAAAAAUGUUAUAGACUAAUUACUAACUAAAAUCAAUCACAAUCGAAUGAAGAUAAUAACUAUAUAUCUAUGCAAGUAUUGUGUUCGAAUAUUUAACAAAUGAGAGGUAGCUCAAGGUAAUAGUUUUGUAGUUCCAUUGGAGACUCUGCAUUAGUUCUCACAAAACAUGCUAGAAAAAAGACAAAUCCUAAAAAUUCUCACAAAACUUAGAAACACCCAACAUCAAUCAUGUAAACUCUAAUAAUCAUAGUCACUGGUCUAUAUUAUUUUCUAAAAAAAUACCCACCAUAAUUCUAAAAUAAACCCUUGAGCUCUCCAAUGGAAAGAAAAAUGAGGCCACAUUGCUACUGAGCUCUGUCAUUAUGAAAAAUAAACUAAAGUAAUUUUAUAAGACCACAUUGCUACUGAGCUCAAAAAUAUGUUUUAUAAUGACAUAGCUCAGUAAUUUUAUAAGUUACCCACCAUAAUUUAAAAAUAAACCCUUGAGCUUUGUCAUUAUAAAAAAUAAUCUAAAGUAAUCCCAUAAUAUUCAUCCAAUUUACGCAUGCAUAUCAUUAUAAAGCAUUGCUUAAAAGACCAUUCUAAAUUUGUAUCUAAGUUACCCACUAUGUCGUAUCAAAAAUAACCUAAAGUAAACUCUUAAAUCUUAAUCUAAUUAUCUUAAUGUGCAUCAUAUAGAAAUGUUUAAAAGUAAACUAAUAUAUGAUUCUAAAUUACUUAUUUAUGUUAUUGUUAAUAUAACAAUACUAAGUUAAGGUAUAUACGCAUGAUGAGUGUCACCAUGUAGACUAGUUAUACAUGUACGGGAGGAAGUGACAAAAAAUAUUGAUUUUUAUACUAAACACAAUGUAUGGAGGUGCAAUACAAAAUAAAAGAGAUUGGAUGUGGAUGAAAAAGUGUAUAGAGUAAUUACUCUUCAACCACAACUAGACAAACAUAAGUACACGUCUAUACGAGUAUUAUAUUGAAGUAUUUAAAAAUGGGAGAGUAGUAGGUAAAGAGUUUUGAUUAUUAAUUAGUACAAGUUUAAUUUCUAAAUAAUUUUAAAAUACAAUAGCUUUUAAAAAUAUUAGCCCGUGCCUCCGCAUGGGCUGAUGGACAAUUUAAUAAUUAACUUGCUUCUACAGAAUAUCUUUGGUAAUGCGACACGGAUACAUGGACUAAUUGUGGAUGAUCAAGUAUUAGAAAUCGUGUCGAUGUUCUAGUAGGGUCCUUGAAGUUAAAGGCCUACUAAUUAAGAUCGAAGUAGUGCAUUCCACCACGGAGGAUACAUGUAGGCCAUCGAUCAAUCUCUGAGCUCCAGUGCUAAAGGCUGUAAAAGAGCCCACCGCCCAAUGCGAAGUGGCGAGCAGUCAUGUGUCCAAGGAGAAUGUACAAGGAUUCAUGUAGGCAAGUUGGGAUGCACAUCUGUGCCACCCACGACUAGCUUGCUCGAAGCUAAGUAGGGCCAGCCGAGCACCAUGCAUAUGCAUGCACGGAGCGAGACCAACAAUGAAGCUUGCAUCCAUGAUCUUGUCUACGCAACGAUCAGCAGCCUAUAUAAAGAUCAUGUCUGUGGUGUAGAUUAGUUUGAUUUACCCAGUGCACAGGAGCAGAUCAUGCAUUCAUUUGACACGCGCCAUUCCACGAGCACCGGGCCUUGAGAGAAAACCCAAGGCCCUCACGUCGCUCUCAAAAGCGGCUUGGGGGCGAUACAUCCAGCCCUCCGCUGCAUCCUCCUAACCCUAGGCCGACGGCCGACCGGCCGCCGGCGGCCCGAAGCCGGUGCUGCUCGCGUUCCCUCUCCCCUUCUUUCCCUCCCUUCCUCUCUUCUCUCCCAACCACACACCUAGGUCGCUCCCUUCUCCUUCGUUGUCGGCGAGGCUACUCCGGCCCUCCGGUCGUCAGAUCCGCACCUCCCAAUGCCGGAUCCAUCCUCUUUGGGCCCGGAUCUGAGGUCUCCCGGGUCGAAGCAGCUAAUCGUCGGUGCGUUUGAAGGGAAGGGGAAGGAGGCGGCAGCUCGAGGUUCUGCGGCCUCCCGAGUCGUCUCCCGCAGCAGGGGCUCGGCAGCUGCCGGCGCACCUCUCGUUGGCGGGGCACGGAGGUCGGCGGCGCGGCGAAUCGCGGUGGGGGCCUGGCGACCGGCACCUCGGCACACGACGCGCCUCUUAGUGGCGGAGCACGUGGCCGGCGGCGCUACACCCCAUGGCGGGGCUGGCUGCCGGCAGCGCGGCGCUCCACCGACCCACCGCCGCAAGAUCCUACCUUUUGCGCUCACAGCAGCUCUGGAUCUGCAUGGUCCCAGGCGCUGGCGCCAGGCUUCACCGGGCUGUCACCGCUGGGGCGCUCGGGGGCUCUCACUCGGGUGUUGUCGCCGCCACCACCACCUACCUCCCGGGGUCCUCGGGGGCUCUCACUCGGGGCUGGCUCGUAGGCUUCCGCCCUGCGCCGGUGUGGAUCCGCCCCCCAACGACAUGGAUCCGCCCUCCCCAGUACAACUGCUCCCGCUGUUCAAGGCGGUCUUCUCCGCCGGUGAAGGUGUGGGUCGGCUGACACUGGACCCACCCUCCCCCGACCCCACCCCCACCUAGAUUUGCGUGCGCCACUUCUGAUCAUCAUCGUCGAGCCUCGGGAGCUCGUCAUCGUCACCGCCGUCGCCACUUGUUACGCUACUCGUGUAGGCGCUGGGUGCCCUUGAGCCUCCUGUUCCAUUGCCCAUCCUUGGUCGUGUAGGUGCCCAUUGCCGGGCCUUUGGUCAUGGGGAUUCUUCCCCCUUUGGUCGUUCGGUUGGUGGGAGUUCUAGGGUGUGUGCUACCGCUCGUAUCUACUGGCGCUCCUCUCCGGGUGAUGCUGCACUAGCUGUUUUGGUCGUUGGGUGGCGGUGGCGUGCUCUUUCAUUUCUCGUUGGCGCGUUUUUGAUCAUCUUUGGGCCAUCACGGUCGCCCAUGGUCGUCUGGGCCCUUCCUUCUUCUCAAUGGUGCCUGCAGAUGUUCCUCAUCAUCGUCGCCUUGGAUUACUCGUUGCCAUCCCAUCGCAUUGGCUAUCAUCCAGGACUCGACGGUCGUCUGCUGCGUGGAGUUAGUUUUGGGGGCCUUUGGCGAAAGCUUUGCCUGGCAUUCACCAGUGCUGACAACGGUUGCAUCCUUUAAGGUAGCUUACCUUGCUGGGGGUGUUGUUGCGGCCACCAAACCCAUUUGAUUUCACCAAGUGAAGACUUGGACUGCUCCUCUGUGGACAUUCGGACGAUGACGGUGUUGGCGUCGCUCCCUCCUUGGAGGCAUCAUCUUGCAUGACCUUCUUGCUCUGCCUCCACUGGCUCCGGGUUGUUAGGCAACCGGUGAUGUGCAUGUGUUCUUGGUGCCCUUCUAUCCUGCAUGUAUCGGUCGUCUUAGGUCGUGUUUGGUGUGGUGGUGUUGUAAGUUUCUUUUCUGUUGUGUUUGUGUUGCUUGUCGUUAUUGUAACUCUGCGCUUUGGGGUCUCUCCUGAAGUGGCUUCAUUGUAACCCUCUUCUUCUUAAUGAAAAACGUGCUAUGCAUGUCUUAAAGAAUAUAUUUAGUAGAUUAUAAGACGUGCAAAAGUAACACAGGCAUACAAGUAUUUUUUAUAAUAUAUAUAAUUACCUAGAUUUGUAAAGUAUUUGAAAUGUAUACAAUUUAUGUGUAAAGAAACACAUGCAUAUUUGAAACUUUGUUGUUAUGAGUUCACAUAUAGUUUUUAUUCAAUUAAUGCCCAAAGUUAGAUAACUUGCCUAGCCGCACACCUUAUGCAAUACGCCAAUACCGUACAUUUGCAAACAUUGAUGGAUCAACAAAGGGAUUAUGGCAGGUUACUAGCUGCCACACCAUUAAAGUAGGGCUGAGGUGUGUUUGAGGAAGAUAAAGAGGGCAAGAGGAGUACAACGGAGAUAAGAUGUCGAAGAAAGCACUACAUGUGAAGAUCCAGCACAUGUCGCCCUAUGCUACUUUAUGUUUGUCAAUGCUAAUGAACGGAGGUAGUGCAUAACGAUCAUAAGGUACGUUGCAUGAUAAAAAUCUAACAGUAUCCUUUUCAUUCACCGUAACAUCUAGGCAAAGAAACACCGCCUCGCCUAGCGCCUACUGCCUAGCGCUUUUGAAACAUUGACUUUAACCAUGGAUACCAAUGAAAGUUUAUUAAUUUGAAUAGCGGAGUCAAAGGAGGAGAGAGCGGGAGUACUGCUCAGAGAGGCACAUAGCUUUUCCUUUGUUCUUCUCUCUUUAACAACGUUCUGUUGAUAAUGUUAGGCUAUCAAUUUGAACAUGUAUGACGCUUUUGGUUCUAAGUUUACUAUACAUUAAAAUCUAUUGUUAAACUGGAUCAACCUUCUUUUAAAAAAAACUGGAUCAACCAGCGAGCGUGGUUUCUCAAUUGGCAACAAAUGAGAAAAUCUUCACAUUGAUUUCUUGGAGAGAUUGAAAAAACAAGGCCUCUUCUAUAAACUGAAAAAAAAAACCCUGAAGGACAAGGACACGCAUGCGUGGACCAUAUGGCACUUAAAACAAAGUCGUCUGGACGACUUUGGAGCAUACCCUAUCCUGCCAAUAUCUUUUUUUUAGAAAAAAUGCCGGCUAGAAGAUAAUUAAGGCCACAAUUACAACGUUAAUCUCAGGCCAAUGGAGGCGCACGGACUCCAUCAGACGGUAUGCAAAGCAAAUGUCUGCAGUGCAAUUCGCUACAAGUGUAAUAAUAUGCAUGGACGUGAUUGUCUUUUGCCUCACAAGAUAAUCUUGUUUCAACUAAAAAGGAUAUCAGCAGAUUAUAUUAACAAAGCAGGGUGAGUGGCCUUUUCUUUUCUACACUGCUUGAUCGAUCUUUCUAUCCUGAUUGAUCAUGUCUAUGUGUUUUGAUUGGAUACUUACACUGCUGAAUGGACACGCACUCAUGCAUAUUAAGCAUAAUUAUAAGCAUGCACAGAUUUCACGCCCCAUACGUUACUAACUCCUCCCUCGCAACCAUAGUGGAAAGGGUGAAAGCCAAAAGUGUUACUGCAGUGGUGGUCUGUUCAGUGAUACUUCUAGUUUAUUAGGCGUUGUGGCCUGUUCUGCAUGGCCAGCCUUUCAUGUGUCCAAGGGCCAUAUUUUUGGCUGCUAGGGGAGCAUCACGCAUUAGCUAAGAUGAACUAAAUUGGAUAUCUUUCCUUGAAAAAGGGAACGAGAGCUUCAAAAGAAACCACAGGAUUGGUGACAAAAUUUUCGAAAUGUUGUCAUUUUAAUUGUUUCAAGUGUACCAAGGUGAUUUCCGAAAUGAAGACUGAUUCUGCAAUGUGGGAAGUAUAAUUAUCAGGAAAAUGUAUGUGAGCUCACUUCAUUCUAUUUGGCAAUCAUAGGUUGUGCCUUGAUCGAAAGUGUUUGGGGUUUGCUUGAAUUUCUGCGAAACAUUUGCAUACUUAAUUUAAAGAAAGAGAAAAGGCAAAAAAAAAUCCGCAUAGGUUAGUUUGUCAAGAAAAAAAAUUAUUAUAGCUCGUAUUUUCAUUGUAGCAUCCGUAUGUCUUUCUUAUGUCAAAUCCCCCUAGCGCCGCACUCAACUAUAUGAUGUGACAUUGCAUGGAUUCCACGUACAAUUCUUUUCGAAGAUAACUAAAAUUUAACUAGCUGAGGUGUUUGGAUCCAUGGAUACCCUUCAUUAAUUGCUGUACAGUGUCAGUGGGAAAUUCACGUGAACUGGUAGGGUUAUUUUGGUCUUUUAGCUCGUUUAGCUGGGUGCAUUUUUUGGCCUGUAGCUAAAUAGCUAUCCCUAGCAGCUUAUGCGUAAAAAGGACCUAAAUAGCAGGUUAGAGAGCUGAAAAAUCCAGACAAAGACUACAUUAUGGUAGGGCAUUUUCGUGUAUUAUUCCUAUAUAGAAUUGUUAUAGAGAUUCGUUCAGACUCAACAUAUAUGACACGGCUAAGCGGUGGUUAAUCGAAUGAUUACAUGGCACUAAACUGUUGUUAAGGUGAGGUAGAGAUGAUUAGUGCACAUAUUUAUUUAGUUAAUGAGUGAUUUGCAACAGUUAAAACAUAAGAGAUUAAAGUCAAACUUUUACGAUACUUAAGGGAUGAAAAUACAUGUUUUCCUUUAUCUCUUCUCAUCAAGAUCAACAAAUUAUGGAUCAUCUACUUCGAAGUUAGGCAGCCUAAUUAGGCACACUCCCAACAAGACUCAUGAAAAGGCAGAAAUAUAUAUGCUCCAACCAAAAGUAGAGUAUAUAUGCAAGUUCCCUACACAUAUACCGUGACGUGUGCAACCUUUGCAAAAUAAAAGGAGGAAUCCAUGCAUUCUCAGCUCAAUUCUGAUGGCUCAUAAAUCGCCGUCUGAGCUUUAAAGCAAGCAUGCUUUGUUUAGUUAAUUCACGGAGGGAUCAUAACUACCACAGCAGGACAUUAUGCAUAUCUGCAUGAACACACGGUAUAUAACCCCGAGAAUGCCAAAUCCAAAGGAAUUCAGCCCAUGCAUGUGUGUUCUUUAUCCCUUGUAGGGUAGAGCAGAAUCGAUCUCUCAGUUUCGAAUGGUCCUGUCGAUCUAUAUGAGCCAUGCACACUGGAGAGUGAAUUAUUUGCAUAUUUUACGGGUACAAUUCCAUAUUAGUCACCCCAUAAGCUAUUUGGUGGUUUCUGCGGCGGUGUAGCUUCCUUCUUACACUGCUUCUGGAAUAUAUGCUGCACAAGUGAAGUUACAGAUGUGCCAUGGCAUAUAGCAUCUGGUAGUAGUUUUCUUUUCCUCGAUCAAGCACCUUGUCUUCUUAACUUUAUUAUGUGCACCACAGGCGAAAUGAAUAUAUCUUGAGCCAAACAGAAAUGGGAAAUCUGAAAAGAGUACAUGUGUCUAGCUCCCAUAUUGAGCAAAGAAUCUUGCACGAACUUCGCAUGAUAUUUACAGAGAUCAAUAAAAGUCCGAAUCCUACAACAAUAUUCACUUUCGAUUUCUUACUAUGUUCAUCCACUGAGCCAGAAUCUUAUGAAAAAUUAUUGCACUUAAUUUUUAUCUCGUUUGCUAUAUUGUAAUCAUAUAUGUGACUAUCCAUGCCAAUAUUUUUUUCUAUUUAAUUUGGUAGCUAAACUCCACCGUAUAAUUGAGAGAGAUCUUAGCUAAUGUUUGGUGAAAGCAUAUGGAAUGAUAUAAGAUAGUGUCCACGUACUUCCGGUAAGUUUUGUUUUAUAAUGGUAGAUGUCAGUGGUCCAGAAGCAGUUUUCAUUGUAUAUUCCUUGGAUUGUUUAAUAAUGCAGGUGUGAAAGCAUUGUAUUACAAUGGGUACUCUGGGUUAUUUUUCGUAAUAGUCGGUAAAUCAGAAUAAGGUGUCAUGAUAUUUUCAUUUUUUUUCCUUUUUGACAAAUGUGGGUAUGUUAGAAAUAGGUUAGAUAUACAACGGUAAAUUUUUUUUUGCCAAUUAUAAUUAUAGUACCCAAAGUCAAUUUUUUGCAUGUUUCGUCUAAGGAUUAACAUGGAGAAUUCCAAUUAGUAAUAUACAAAGAUAUCCUUGUGUUCCAACUCUGGUCUUUUGCUCCUGAAACACCAUUUUAAUUUGCACGAACUGCAUGUUGUUUUCCAAUGAGCCAGACAACAUAAGAGGAGGGGAAAAAGUACUCCCUCCGUUACAAAUUAUAGAUCGUUUUAAUUUUUUAUUCAUAGAUGUUUGUAUGUAUCUAGACAUAUAUUAUAUUUAAGUGCAUACAAACAUCUAUACGCCUAGAAAAGUUAGAAUGACGUAUAAUUCGAGACGGAGGGAGUAGAAGUUGGUGGGAUAAUUGGCGCCUACUUUCUGCCACCAUGUUUCCUAAUGGAGGUACUCGUGCUCUACACCUAUACAUACCCAAGUAAUGGUGUCUGGACCAAAUGAUAGGAUCGUUGAGCACCAUGCAAUUAGCAUGAGCGGGGGGCCCACCCACUAGCAGCUAAACCCUGCUGUGCUACCACCUCCCCGCCUCUCCACUCACUCACCCCUCUGUGCUCUCAGGCCACCAUAUAUGCAUGCAAACGGAUGCACCACAUCUCAGUCGCUCUCUUCUCUGCUAUACAUAAUAGCAGCUUCAUCGCCCUUCCCUCCUCGAUUCACCACCCUCCUCGAUUUACCUCCACUCCACAGCUUCGACAUCUCCCUCGUCAAUUCCCUUCUCCUCCCUGGUGGAAUCCAAUCCGAUGCGGCGGCCACCAUCGGCACCACCACCAUUGCCAGCCCAAGUGGCGGCCUCGUGAGAGGUUGGCAGCGAGCCAAGCCUAGGAGACGGCAUCGGUAUAUCUCGGAAUGUGCUGCCUCCCAACACCCCCGGCCACCGCCUAUAAAGCCAUCGCCAUGGCUCCCCCUCCCCACCCCCGCCAGAGCUAGCUAGGGAUCGAUCUCAUCUCUCACUCGCCCGCUCGUCUCCCACCGAGCUCCAUCGCCGGCGCCGGCGAGACCCACCAGCAGCUAGCCACAUGGUGAAGUUCUCGAAGCAGUUCGAGGGGCAGCUCGUCCCCGAGUGGAAGCACGCCUUCGUGGACUACUGCCUGCUCAAGAAGGACCUCAAGAGGGUGCAGCACGCCCUGCUGCUCAUCGGCCGUUGCGAGGCGGCGGCGGCAGGCCUAACCGCCGCCGCACAGCAGCAGCAGACAAGCGAUGACCGGCACGCGGAACGUGUUGUUGCUUCCCUGUCCCAAUGGCUCCAUGCUGCCGGUCUCUUUGGCUCCUCCAGCACGCCCAAGGAUCACGGAGUCAUACACGUACGAAACUGACGCUUCGAUCAAACGUGCACACGUAGUCACGUGUACGUGACACACCCUUCUCCGAUUGUUAGUGAAUCUUUUGCGCUUUUUUGUUCGUGUCCAGGUGCACCGCCGGAAGCUGGCGGGGCCGGCGGCGAGCAGAGGCGGCGGGGACGAGUACGAGACGGAGCUGCUGGAGCCACUGGCGGCCGCCGACGACAACGAGGCGGCGGCGACGCGGGAGUUCUUCGCGCGGCUGGACGCGCAGCUCAACAAGGUGAACCGGUUCUACAAGGGCAAGGAGGAGGAGUUCCUGGAGCGGGGCCGGUCGCUGCGGAAGCAGAUGGACAUCCUCGCCGACCUCAAGGCCGCCGCCAGGGAGGACACCACCACCAAUCCCUCCGACUCCUCCGUCGCCUCCGGCGGCUGCUCCGGUGAGCACUUGCAAACCGAUCAAUUGCAUUUCCCACAAAUAGGGUAGCUAGCUCUGAUCAGCAGGCGAUCAUGGCCUCCGCCGCCGCAAGCCCGCAACAACCAGCAACACGGCCGCGCGCGGCCGGCGUAGCUAGCUAGCGUGCGCUCGUCGUCGUGUCGCGUGGCCGGUGGCGAGCGAGCUGAGGUAGCGUGAGACGAGAUGUCACGUAGGCUCGCGACCGGCGCGGCGAAUGGGGGCGCUGGCCGGUGGUGCCUGCUGAUUGGUGAGGUGAGGCCCACCGUCCAUGUCCAUGGAUGAUGCUGGAUCAGACGUUUGAUGAGCUUUGAGGCGUGUGAGCAAGAAGUCACUAAGCUCUGUGCCCAGGAAUAUUGGCUCUCUCUCUUUUUAUCGUGUGGGUGUCUUUAGUAGUUAGUCGUGUCUGCAUUUGGCACGACACAUAUUGUGUUGUUAUCCUGACUUUGCUUUUAGCGUCUCCUGGCGUCUCUUUUAGGCUCGUUUGGUAUGGCUUAGGGGUUCUGGUUUUGUAUCUGUAGUAGUACCGUAGCAGGUGGAGCCGAAUCCAUAGGAAGCUAUUUUUUUAGAGCUUCACCGGUUUCACCUCCUUCCCAAUUCAUUUUGAAGUCUUGGUAUCCGUUCCGACUUCGUGCUACUGUAACGCACAGUGCUAAACAGUGCGCGUUACUGUACCAUGCUAAGGGGCCUUAAUAUUUGCCGAAUUUCAUUUUUUUAAUUUUGACGAUGGAUCCGCAUUGACAGUACAUUAGCAAAAGCAUUAGUAGCAGAUAACAUCUGGAUGCCUCGCUCCCCUGAUUCUUCUAGAAAGAAGAUAAGAGAAAUAAUGCAAAAUUCCGUGCAUUAUUUAUGCUGCUAGAACAUGACUCUUGAAAAAGCAGAAUUUCUUCCUUCAAUAAUAGUACACACAGAGCAUCUAUAUUUUAUUAUCACGAUUUCUGAUCAAAUUAUCUUUCAACAUACUUUUUUAGAUUAUUCAUUUGAUGUCAUCUUCUUUUAUCCUACUGAUGAAAACAGAGGAUGAGUCCACACGGUACGCGAUGACGUCUGAGACAGACACGGACCAGCUGAGCGAGCAGGAGGCCACCACACCGACCAAGGACCCCGGCGUCACGGCUCAAGAAGACCGGCAGAUGGAUCUAGACGGUUCUGGAACCUUCGGGAGGUCGGCGAGCGGCUGCGGGAGGAAGAGCCUCAAGAUCAACAUCCCCCUGACCAACCCCUCCCGGACGAUCGCCGCGCUGGCGGACAUCCUGCGGGACGAGCUCGCCGCCCAGUCCGGCUCCAAGAAAUGCAACCCCGACGGCGGCAUGGGGAAGCACGGCGUCAGCAAGACGAAGCUCCGGCACGCGGAGAAGAUGAUCAGGGGCGGCUUCGUCGAGCUCUACAAGGGCCUCGGCUACCUCGCCACCUACCGGUAAGCUCCGCGCAUUCGUUUGUGCGUUCAGGUUCAGAACUGCUUGAUCAGAUUGAUGCUGAUUUUUUUUUUAUUUUUUUGGCAAUGAGCAGGAACCUGAACAUGAUGGCGUUCGUGAAGAUCCUGAAGAAGUUCGAGAAGAUCAGCGGGAAGCAGGUGCUCUCCGUGUACCUCAAGGUGGUGGAGAGCUCCUACUUCAACAGCUCUGACGAGGCACGCACACGGUUUGCUCUGUUCCACUCUCUGUCUCUGCACCGCUAUCUGACUGACAGAGAAAGCUCGCCGAACUUGCUAUUCUGAAUGGAACUGAUGACGAGACGACAUUCUCGCUGCAGGCGCUGAAGCUGAUGGACGAGGUGGAGGAGAUCUUCGUCCGGCACUUCGCCGGCGGCAACCGGCGCAAGGCCAUGAGGUACCUCAAGCCGGCGCAGCGGAAGGAGUCCCACUCCGUCACCUUCUUCACGGGCCUCGCCACCGGCUGCUUCGCCGCGCUCUUCGUGGGCUACUGCGUCAUGGCGCACAUGGCCGGGCUCUACCUCUACACCUCGACUCCACGCGGGCGCGGCGGCGGCGAGGCGGCGCGCUACAUGGAGACGGCGUACCCGGUGCUGAGCAUGUUCACGCUGCUGUUCCUGCACCUGCUCCUGUACGGCUGCAACAUGGUGGCGUGGCGCCGGUGCCGCGUCAACUACGGCUUCAUCUUCGCGUCGUCGCCCGCCGCUGCCGGCGGGGAGCUCCGGCCCCGGGACGUCUUCCUCACCUGCGCCGCGUCCAUGGCCGCUGUCGCCGGAGCCAUGUUCGCGCACCUCGCGCUCGUGCUCAGGGGAUACCACGCGUCGCCGCACGUCCAGGCCAUCCCCGGAUUCUUGCUCCUGGUGAACCCUCUAUCUACUACUGCAAUUGUUCUUAUUCUGAUGGUCUCCUGAUCGUGAUCACUAGAGGCUCAUCAAAGGACAUUCUCCAUAUAUGCUCCUGCAGCAACUGCACCUGAUCAAGAAUGGGAAUAAUGGAAUGUGUUCUGUCGAUUCAUGCAGGUGUUCCUGCUCCUUCUGUUCUGCCCUCUCAACGUCGCGUACCGUUCGAGUCGGUUUCGGUUCCUCAGGAUUAUGAGGAACAUCAUCCUGUCACCACUCUACAAGGUACAGCAUCAGCAGCACUUGCAGUUAUUCAUUCUGAUAAGCCUUAGCAUAAUCUUCUUGGACCCAAACUGGGCCAAUGUUCGUUCAAUUUGUUUUUAAUUUUUUCAAAAACUGGGCCAAUGCAUAGCCUGAUGAUCUUUGAACAUUUGCAGGUUGUGAUGGUAGACUUCUUCAUGGCCGAUCAGCUAUGCAGCCAGGUGCCUAUGCUAAGGAGCCUGGAGUACUUGGCCUGCUACUACAUCAGCGGGAGCUACAUGACGCAGGAUCACGGCUACUGCAUCAACACCAAGCAGAUCAGAGACCUGGCCUACGCCGUCUCCUUCCUGCCCUACUACUGGAGAGCCAUGCAGGUAACAGCAAGGUCUACCACGCAGUAGAGUCCGUUCAUCUUCAUGAACAUUCCUCAGUCUCUGCAGUUUCUGAACUCUGGAUGUCUGAAAAACGUUUAUGCAUUCAUAUCUUCUGUUCCAGUGCGCGAGGCGGUGGUUUGACGAGUGGGACACGAGCCACCUGGUGAACCUGGGCAAGUACGUCUCGGCGAUGCUCGCGGCCGGCGCCAAGGUGGCGUACGAGAAGGACAAGGGCCUGGCGUCGCUGUCGCUGCUCGUCGCCGUGUCGAGCACCGCCACGGUGUACCAGCUCUACUGGGACUUCGUCAAGGACUGGGGCCUGCUCCAGCCCAACUCCAAGAACCCCUGGCUCAGGAACGACCUCAUUCUCAAGAGGAAAUCCGUAUACUACUUGUCAAUGGUACGUUCAUCAGUUCAUCGCCGUGCAUGCAGAGAAACUUGUAAAGCGAGGUCAAAUGGCUUCAGUUGCAGUGCAGGACAAUCUGCUCUUUCAGAGUUCAGACAGCCUGUUAAAUUGAGAAAUCAACAACCAAAACAGAACUUUGGUCAUGCAAGAAAAUCACAAAGCUUACAUUUUACAAUCAGUAUCCAAUACUAAAACUUUCGGCAUCAUGGUCUAAAUGGACGAAACAUGCUAUUUGUUCUGCACUAGUAGUGAAGAAUCACGUUCCAGAUAACCAAAGGCUCAAGUGAAAUGUUCUCAUUCCUGUCUGAACCUUUUUGCAGGGACUGAACCUCGUGCUGAGGCUUGCCUGGCUGCAGACCGUGAUCCAUCCAAAUUUUGGGAGCUUGGAUUCUAGGGUCACUUCCUUCUUCCUAGCGGCCCUCGAGGUGAUCCGGAGAGGUCAUUGGAACUUCUACCGGUAAGAACUUGCAAUUUGAUGGUUGCGCACACAGUCUCAUCCUUGAAAAACAACACAUCAAGGGUCUGAACGAGUACAUGAAAAUUUUUCAGGUUGGAGAAUGAGCAUCUGAACAAUGCGGGCAAGUUUCGGGCGGUAAAGACGGUUCCACUGCCUUUUCACGAAGUGGACGAGGACUAACGUACUACUGACCAUGGCUAGAUCGAACAAUUGUUUCUUCACCAUUCUGCUGAAUUUUUUUCGUAGUGAAGAACUCGAGAGGCGGAGAAUUGUUGGGAACCUUAGCUGUUUAUGCGCGUAGUAGUUCCUUCAGGAUGCUGAAAAAUCAUUUGUUCGUUCCUAGUAGAUGCGUCAAUGUGUAAAUAAGAAAGGCAUCGCGUUUCGCAGUGUUUUGUCUGACCAAAUGUGAGCCUUUUAUUCCAAGAUAAACGAAAAAAUGGGUACAAAAGCAUGUCAAAAUUAUCACAAGCCACAAUCCAAUGGUUCCUAUGACAGAUCCCGCGGGUAAUCUCACCGGUCUAUGAUGGUACAACAAGAACAGCAACAGCGGAAAUAAUUAAAUCAUGAUCUGGUACACUGAUAUAUGUAUAUAUGGAUCUCUCUGUUGGAUUUACCACGCUAGCGAUAGCAAAAGAGCAGCCAUGGCGGUCUGCAGGACGGCGACGCCCCAGUGCUGGUGCUGCCGGCUGCUCGCGUUCUGCAGGAAGAAGAAGCAAAAGCAUUAGUGAUUAUCAAUUGAUUUUUUUUUCCGUGCUAGUUCCUACUAUAAAUAGGGAAGAGAAUCUUGUGUUUUAGCGUCGUGAUCCGUGCAUUACCACGUCGAACGCCGACGGCGCGGGGCCGGACACGUCCUCGAGAUCAGCGGGCGACGGCGCGGCGGGCGCCGGCGGGCUCAGCGGCUGCGGCGCCUCCGCGGGGGCCUCCUUCUUGCCGUGCUGCUUCCUCCUCCUCUUGUGCUUGUUCUUGCCCUUGGAUGGCGCCUCGGCCGGCGGCAGCGUUGCGGGCGACUCGGCCACGGGCGCGGGCGUCGCGGGGGGCAGCGUCGCGGGAGCCUCGGCCGGGGGCGUGGCCGUCGGCGGAGGCGCCGCGGCGGGCGGGAGCACCGCGGGCGGCGUGGCCGGCGGCGGCGUGGAGGGAGGUGGCGUCACGACAGGGGGAGGCGUCACCGGCGGGGGCUUGGCCGGCGCGACCGCGGGCGCGGCCGGCGGCGGCUUUGACGGCGGGACCGGGGUGGCGGCCGGCGCGGGGGUCGCUGGGGUCGGCGGCGAGUUGGCUGGCGCCGCGGGGGUGGCCGUGGGCGCGAGCGCUGCCGGUGUCGUCGGUGCAGCAGGUGUCGUCGGCGCAGCAGGAGUCGUCGGCGCUGCCGGUGUCGUCGGUGCAGCUGGUGUCGUCGGUGCAGCAGGUGUCGUGGGCGCAGCCGGUGUCGUCGGUGCAGCAGGUGUCGUCGGCGUCGCAGGAGUCGUCGGUGCGGCUGGUGUCGUUGGCGCUGCCGGUGUCGUGGGCGCAGCCGGGGUCGUGGGUGCAGCAGGCGUCGUUGGCGACUGCGCCACGGCGGCGCCGAGGUGGAGCGCGAGGACGGCGGCGAGCACGGCGAUGCGGCGCCAUUGCCGGAGCAGCGGCGGCGCGGCCAUGCUGUUGGCGCGGUGCGGAUGCCGAGCUAGCUCGCUGACGGGAAUGCGGUCGAUGGAUCUCGCGCCGACCGAUGAAGCAG